Molecule: ribosomal RNA, 468 nt
Filed under: uncultured bacterium
Lineage: Bacteria
Description: partial 16S ribosomal RNA
Rfam family: Bacterial small subunit ribosomal RNA
Source: RNAcentral
GACGAACGCUGGCGGCGUGCUUAACACAUGCAAGUCGAACGGAAAGGCCCUGCUUUUGUGGGGUGCUCGAGUGGCGAACGGGUGAGUAACACGUGAGUAACCUGUCCUUGACUUUGGGAUAACUUCAGGAAACUGGGGUUAAUACCGGAAAGGAGCUCCUGCUGCAUGGUGGGGGAUGGAAAGUUUCGGCGGUUGGGGAUGGACUCGCGGCUUAUCAGCUUGUUGGUGGGGUAGUGGCUUACCAAGGCUUUGACGGGUAGCCGGCCUGGGAGGGUGACCGGCCACAUUGGGACUGAGAUACGGCCCAGACUCCUACGGGAGGCAGCAGUGGGGAAUAUUGCACAAUGGGCGGAAGCCUGAUGCAGCAACGCCGCGUGCGGGAUGACGGCCUUCGGUUUGUAAACCGCUUUCGCCUGUGACGAAGCGUUGGUGACGGUAAUGGGUAAAGAAGCACCGGCUAACUACGUG